This 79-nucleotide non-coding RNA is filed under the name Syntrophotalea acetylenica. Its description in RNAcentral is "Pelobacter acetylenicus c-di-GMP sequence". It matches the Rfam family "c-di-GMP-I-GGC riboswitch aptamer". Lineage: Bacteria; Pseudomonadati; Thermodesulfobacteriota; Desulfuromonadia; Desulfuromonadales; Syntrophotaleaceae. The record is from Rfam by way of RNAcentral.
AUAGUCAAAGCUAAACCCCUCGUGAGGGGGGGACGGAAAGCGGCGGGUCUUCCCGAAGAAGACGGCCGAGCUGCCAAAG